AACGGCCAUACCGCGCUGAAUAUACCGGUUCUCGUUAGAUCACUGAAGCUUAGCACCGAUCACCGCAUCAUCGGGCGCGGUUAGUACUUGUGUGGGUGACCAUCUGGGAACACCGCGUGCCGUU
Molecule: non-coding RNA, 124 nt
Organism: Caerostris darwini
Lineage: Eukaryota; Metazoa; Arthropoda; Arachnida; Araneae; Araneidae
Source: the annotation of a GenBank genome assembly